RNAcentral lists this ribosomal RNA (432 nucleotides) under uncultured bacterium. RNAcentral's name for it is "partial 16S ribosomal RNA". It matches the Rfam family "Bacterial small subunit ribosomal RNA", at positions 29 to 507 of the family's 1533-position model. The record is from RNAcentral.
ACGCACGCUGGCGGCAUGCCUAACACAUGCCGGUCGAACGAGACCUUCGGGUCUAGUGGCGCACGGGUGCGUCACGCGUGGGAACCUGCCCUUAGGUUCGGAAUAACUCCCCGAAAGGGGUGCUAAUACCGGAUAAUGUCUUCGGACCAAAGAUUUAUCGCCUUUGGAUGGGCCCGCGUUGGAUUAGCUAGUUGGUAGGGUAAAAGCCUACCAAGGCGACGAUCCAUAGCUGGUCUGAGAGGAUGAUCAGCCACACUGGGACUGAGACACGGCCCAGACUCCUACGGGAGGCAGCAGUGGGGAAUAUUGGACAAUGGGCGAAAGCCUGAUCCAGCAAUGCCGCGUGAGUGAUGAAGGCCUUAGGGUUGUAAAGCUCUUUUACCCGGGAUGAUAAUGACAGUACCGGGAGAAUAAGCGCCGGCUAACUCCGUG